RNAcentral lists this unclassified non-coding RNA (347 nucleotides) under soil metagenome. Its description in RNAcentral is "partial contains 5.8S ribosomal RNA, internal transcribed spacer 2, and large subunit ribosomal RNA". The stretch from base 1 to 120 matches the Rfam family "5.8S ribosomal RNA", at positions 35 to 154 of the family's 154-position model. The record is from RNAcentral.
GAUGAAGAACGCAGCGAAAUGCGAUAAGUAAUGUGAAUUGCAGAAUUCAGUGAAUCAUCGAGUCUUUGAACGCACAUUGCGCCCCCUGGUAUUCCGGGGGGCAUGCCUGUCCGAGCGUCAUUGCUGCCCUCAAGCACGGCUUGUGUGUUGGGCCGUCGUCCCCCUCCUAGGGGACGGGCCCGAAAGGCAGCGGCGGCACCGCGUCCGGUCCUCGAGCGUAUGGGGCUUCGUCACCCGCUCCGUAGGCCCGGCCGGCGCUUGCCGACGACCAUCAAUCUAUUUCUCCAGGUUGACCUCGGAUCAGGUAGGGAUACCCGCUGAACUUAAGCAUAUCAAUAAGCGGAGGA